RNAcentral lists this ribosomal RNA (253 nucleotides) under uncultured bacterium. Its description in RNAcentral is "partial 16S ribosomal RNA". It matches the Rfam family "Bacterial small subunit ribosomal RNA", at positions 524 to 776 of the family's 1533-position model. The record is from RNAcentral.
UACGUAGGGGGCGAGCGUUGUCCGGAAUCAUUGGGCGUAAAGCGCGUGUAGGCGGCUCGGUAAGUCUGCUGUGAAAGUCCAGGGCUCAACCCUGGGAUGCCGGUGGAUACUGUCGAGCUCGAGUCCGGAAGAGGCAAGUGGAAUUCCUGGUGUAGCGGUGGAAUGCGCAGAUAUCAGGAGGAACACCAACGGCGAAGGCAGCUUGCUGGGACGGUACUGACGCUAAGGCGCGAAAGCGUGGGGAGCGAACAGG